This 484-nucleotide ribosomal RNA is filed under the name uncultured bacterium. RNAcentral's name for it is "partial 16S ribosomal RNA". It matches the Rfam family "Bacterial small subunit ribosomal RNA", at positions 29 to 507 of the family's 1533-position model. The record is from RNAcentral.
AUUGAACGCUGGCGGCAUGCUUUACACAUGCAAGUCGAACGGCAGCGCGGGCUUCGGCCUGGCGGCGAGUGGCGAACGGGUGAGUAAUACAUCGGAACGUGCCCAGUAGUGGGGGAUAGCUCGGCGAAAGCCGGAUUAAUACCGCAUACGACCUGAGGGUGAAAGCGGGGGAUCUUCGGACCUCGCGCUAUUGGAGCGGUCGAUGGCAGAUUAGCUAGUUGGUGGGGUAAAGGCCUACCAAGGCGACGAUCUGUAGCUGGUCUGAGAGGACGACCAGCCACACUGGGACUGAGACACGGCCCAGACUCCUACGGGAGGCAGCAGCGGGGAAUUUUGGACAAUGGGCGAAAGCCUGAUCCAGCAAUGCCGCGUGUGUGAUGAAGGCCUUCGGGUUGUAAAGCACUUUUGGCGGGAACGAAAAGGACUGUGCCAAUACCACGGUUCGAUGACGGUACCCGCAGAAUAAGCACCGGCUAACUACGUG